GGGUAGAGAACCGGGUGGUAGCUGGUUAGUAUCAGUGACUAAGGUGCAGGGUAGAAUACCGGGUGGUAGCUGGUUAGUGACAGUCUCUUAGGUGCAGGGUAGAGAACCUGGUGGUAGCUGGUUAGUAAGAGUGACUAAGGAGCAGGGUAGAGUACCGGGUGGUAGCUGGUUAGUAACAGUCUCUACGGUGCAGGGUAGAGUACCGGAUGGUAGCUGGUUAUUAACAGUGUCUAAGGUGCAGGGUAGAGUACCAGGUGGUAGCUGGUUAGUAACAGUCUCUACGGUGCAGGGUAGAGUACCGGGUGGUAGCUGGUUAGUAACAGUCUCUACGGUGCAGGGUAGAGUACCGGGUGGUAGCUGGUU
Molecule: long non-coding RNA, 363 nt
Filed under: Salmo salar (Atlantic salmon)
Lineage: Eukaryota; Metazoa; Chordata; Actinopteri; Salmoniformes; Salmonidae
Description: lncRNA (ENSSSAG00000098849.1)
Source: RNAcentral